This 57-nucleotide transfer RNA is filed under the name Camelus bactrianus (Bactrian camel). It matches the Rfam family "tRNA", at positions 8 to 63 of the family's 71-position model. From Rfam's summary of the family: Transfer RNA (tRNA) molecules are approximately 80 nucleotides in length. Their secondary structure includes four short double-helical elements and three loops (D, anti-codon, and T loops). The record is from Rfam by way of RNAcentral. RNAcentral also lists the same sequence under 1 other name. Lineage: Eukaryota; Metazoa; Chordata; Mammalia; Artiodactyla; Camelidae.
UAGCUCAGCGGGAGAGCGUCUGCUUAGCACGCAUGAGGCCCUGGGUUCGAUCCCCAG